Molecule: ribosomal RNA, 253 nt
Filed under: uncultured bacterium
Lineage: Bacteria
Description: partial 16S ribosomal RNA
Rfam family: Bacterial small subunit ribosomal RNA
Source: RNAcentral
UACGAAGGGGGCUAGCGUUGUUCGGAGUUACUGGGCGUAAAGGGCGCGUAGGCGGCGCACCAAGUCAGGCGUGAAAGCCCUGGGCUCAACCCGGGAAUUGCGCUUGAGACUGGUGUGCUCGAGUGCGGGAGAGGAUGGUGGAAUUCCCAGUGUAGAGGUGAAAUUCGUAGAUAUUGGGAAGAACACCGGUGGCGAAGGCGGCCAUCUGGACCGUAACUGACGCUGAGGCGCGAAAGCGUGGGGAGCAAACAGG